GGCCUUGGGGUGUUACAUGUAAGAUUGCAAAUCUUAAGAAGCAGGCUAAGCCCCUGCCGAGGCUU
This 65-nucleotide transfer RNA is filed under the name Elassoma zonatum (banded pygmy sunfish). RNAcentral's name for it is "tRNA-Cys". The record is from RNAcentral. Lineage: Eukaryota; Metazoa; Chordata; Actinopteri; Centrarchiformes; Elassomatidae.